GGGCGAAAGCCUGAUGGAGCAACGCCGCGUGAGUGAAGAAGGUUUUCGGAUCGUAAAACUCUGUUGUAAGGGAAGAACAAGUACAGUAGUAACUGGCUGUACCUUGACGGUACCUUAUUAGAAAGCCACGGCUAACUACGUGCCAGCAGCCGCGGUAAUACGUAGGUGGCAAGCGUUGUCCGGAAUUAUUGGGCGUAAAGCGCGCGCAGGUGGUUUCUUAAGUCUGAUGUGAAAGCCCACGGCUCAACCGUGGAGGGUCAUUGGAAACUGGGAGACUUGAGUGCAGAAGAGGAUAGUGGAAUUCCAAGUGUAGCGGUGAAAUGCGUAGAGAUUUGGAGGAACACCAGUGGCGAAGGCGACUAUCUGGUCUGUAACUGACACUGAGGCGCGAAAGCGUGGGGAGCAAACAGGAUUAGAUACCCUGGUAGUCCACGCCGUAAACGAUGAGUGCUAAGUGUUAGGGGGUUUCCGCCCCUUAGUGCUGCAGCUAACGCAUUAAGCACUCCGCCUGGG
Molecule: ribosomal RNA, 513 nt
Filed under: uncultured bacterium
Lineage: Bacteria
Description: bacterial SSU rRNA
Rfam family: Bacterial small subunit ribosomal RNA
Source: RNAcentral